Molecule: transfer RNA, 87 nt
Filed under: Hypoxylon sp. EC38
Lineage: Eukaryota; Fungi; Ascomycota; Sordariomycetes; Xylariales; Hypoxylaceae
Description: tRNA-Gly
Source: RNAcentral
GCACCCGUGGAGCAGAAGUUUAGCUCAUUCCCCUCCCAUGGUCUAUAUGGUUAGGGAAAGACCUGGGUGCAAAUCCCGGCGGGUGCA